UACGUAGGUGGCAAGCGUUAUCCGGAUUUACUGGGUGUAAAGGGCGUGUAGGCGGGAAAGCAAGUCAGAUGUGGAAACCAUGGGCUCAACCUGUGGCCUGCAUUUGAAACUGUUUUUCUUGAGUACUGGAGAGGCAGACGGAAUUCCUAGUGUAGCGGUGAAAUGCGUAGAUAUUAGGAGGAACACCAGUGGCGAAGGCGGUCUGCUGGACAGCAACUGACGCUGAGGCGCGAAAGCGUGGGGAGCAAACAGG
This 253-nucleotide ribosomal RNA is filed under the name uncultured bacterium. RNAcentral describes it as "partial 16S ribosomal RNA". It matches the Rfam family "Bacterial small subunit ribosomal RNA", at positions 524 to 776 of the family's 1533-position model. The record is from RNAcentral.